UACGUAGGGUGCAAGCGUUGUCCGGAAUUAUUGGGCGUAAAGAGCUCGUAGGCGGUUUGUUGCGUCGGCUGUGAAAUCCCGAGGCUCAACCUCGGGUCUGCAGUCGAUACGAGCAAACUAGAGUGUUGCAGGGGAGACUGGAAUUCCUGGUGUAGCGGUGAAAUGCGCAGAUAUCAGGAGGAACACCGGUGGCGAAGGCGGCUCUCUGGAACGGUACUGACGCUGAGACGCGAAAGCGUGGGGAGCGAACAGG
RNAcentral lists this ribosomal RNA (253 nucleotides) under uncultured bacterium. Its description in RNAcentral is "partial 16S ribosomal RNA". It matches the Rfam family "Bacterial small subunit ribosomal RNA", at positions 524 to 776 of the family's 1533-position model. The record is from RNAcentral.